This 490-nucleotide ribosomal RNA is filed under the name Pseudolycoriella tonnoiri. RNAcentral describes it as "partial 16S ribosomal RNA". The record is from RNAcentral. Lineage: Eukaryota; Metazoa; Arthropoda; Insecta; Diptera; Sciaridae.
GUCUUUUUGAUUUUAAUUUAAAGUUUAACCUGCCCAUUGAAAAUUUUUAAAAGGCUGCGGUAUUUUGACUGUACAAAGGUAGCAUAAUCAUUAGUUUUUUAAUUGAAAACUUGUAUGAAUGGUUGAAUGAGAAAUUAACUUUUUUAAAAAAAUAAUUGAAUUUUACUUUUUAAUUAAAAGGUUAAAAUAAAUUUAAAAGACGAGAAGACCCUAUAGAGUUUUAUAAUUUUUAUUUAAUAUUUAAAAAGAUUAAUUAAAAUUUUAUAAAAGAAAAUAUUUUGUUGGGGUGAUAAUAAAAUUUAAAUAACUUUUAUUUUUUUUUACAUUAAUAUAUGAAUUUAUGAUCCAUUAUUUAUGAUUAGAAAUUUAAAUUACCUUAGGGAUAACAGCGUAAUUUUUUUUUAAAGUUCAUAUUAAUAAAAAAUUUUGCGACCUCGAUGUUGGAUUAAGAUUUAAUUUUAGGUGCAGCACUUUAAAUUUUAAGUCUGUU